GUGCACCAGUCGCGAAACCUCCGCAAUGCACGCAAGUGCGACGGGGGAACCCCAAGUGCCACUCUUAACGGGGUGGCUUUUCAGAAGUGUAAAAAGCUUCUGGAAUAAGGGCUGGGCAAGACCGGUGCCAGCCGCCGCGGUAACACCGGCAGCUCAAGUGGUAGCCGCUUUUAUUGGGCCUAAAGCGUCCGUAGCCGGUCUGAUAAGUCUCUGGUGAAAUCCCACAGCUUAACUGUGGGAAUUGCUGGAGAUACUAUCAUGACUCGAGGUCGGGAGAGGCUGGAGGUACCCCCAGGGUAGGGGUGAAAUCCUGUAAUCCUGGGAGGACCACCUGUGGCGAGGCGUCCAGCUGGAACGAACCUGACGGUGAGGGACGAAAGCCAGGGGCGCGAACCGGAUUAGAUACCCCCGUAGUCC
Molecule: ribosomal RNA, 417 nt
Filed under: uncultured Methanothermobacter sp.
Lineage: Archaea; Methanobacteriati; Methanobacteriota; Methanobacteria; Methanobacteriales; Methanobacteriaceae
Description: bacterial SSU rRNA
Rfam family: Archaeal small subunit ribosomal RNA
Source: RNAcentral